GUUUCAAUUCCUCAUAGGCAGGCUAUCGGCCAAUAUCUUUUAAAACCUGUUCCGGCAAAUUUUUUGUG
Molecule: small RNA, 68 nt
Filed under: Acididesulfobacillus acetoxydans
Lineage: Bacteria; Bacillati; Bacillota; Clostridia; Eubacteriales; Peptococcaceae
Description: Peptococcaceae bacterium INE non-coding RNA
Source: RNAcentral